RNAcentral lists this ribosomal RNA (406 nucleotides) under uncultured bacterium. RNAcentral's name for it is "partial 16S ribosomal RNA". It matches the Rfam family "Bacterial small subunit ribosomal RNA", at positions 30 to 526 of the family's 1533-position model. The record is from RNAcentral.
AUUGAACGCUGGCGGCAGGCCUAACACAUGCAAGUCGAACGAGUGGCGGACGGGUGAGUAACAUCUGGGAAACUGCCCGAUGGAGGGGGAUAACUCUUGGAAACGGUAUCUAAUACCGCAUAUCAUCUCAUGUGCCCAGAGGGGGGUCGCUGGUAGGUGGGGUAACGGCUCACCUAGGCGACGAUCACUAGCUGGUCUGAGAGGAUGACCAGCCACACUGGAACUGAGACACGGUCCAGACUCCUACGGGAGGCAGCAGUGGGGAAGAUUGCACAAUGGGCGCAAGCCUGAUGCAGCCAUGCCGUGUGGAGGAAGAAGGCCUUCGGGUUGUAAAGUACUUUCAGCGGGGAGGCGUUACCCGCAGAAGAAGCACCGGCUAACUCCGUGCCAGCAGCCGCGGUAAUAC